This 806-nucleotide ribosomal RNA is filed under the name uncultured bacterium. RNAcentral's name for it is "bacterial SSU rRNA". It matches the Rfam family "Bacterial small subunit ribosomal RNA", at positions 15 to 791 of the family's 1533-position model. The record is from RNAcentral.
GAUCCUGGCUCAGGACGAACGCUGGCGGCGUGCUUAACACAUGCAAGUCGAGGGAGUCCAGGUCUUCGGACCUGAGGCGACCGGCGGACGGGUGAGUAACACGUAAGUGAUCUAUCCUCGUGCGGGGGAUAACCCGGGGAAACUCGGGCUAAUACCGCAUGGUCGGACUGGCUGCAUGGCCGGACCGGGAAAGGUGGCCUCUUCUUGAAAGCUACCGCGUGGGGAGGAGCUUGCGGGCUAUCAGCUAGUUGGUGAGGUAACGGCUCACCAAGGCAACGACGGCUAGGGGGUCUGAGAGGACGACCCCCCACAUUGGGACUGAGACACGGCCCAGACUCCUACGGGAGGCAGCAGUGGGGAAUAUUGGGCAAUGGCCGAAAGGCUGACCCAGCGACGCCGCGUGUGGGAGGACGCCUUUCGGGGUGUAAACCACUGUCGGGGGGGACGAGAGCGUUGGCGGGGAAUACUCGCCAGCAGUGACGGUACCCCUACAGGAAGCACCGGCUAACUCUGUGCCAGCAGCCGCGGUAAUACAGAGGGUGCAAGCGUUGUUCGGAAUCACUGGGCGUAAAGCGCGCGCAAGCGGACGUGUAAGUCGGAAGUAAAAUUCCGGGGCUCAACCCCCGGAGCUGCUCCCCGAUACUGCAGGGUCUGGAUAACCCGUAAAGGCUGGGUGGAAAUUCCCUGUGUACCCGUGGAAAUGCGUAGAUUUCGGGAGUACACACCGUGGCCAAGGCGCAACCUGUGCCUGUUCUGACCCUUAGGCGCUUAAAUCUUUGGGAACGAUCANGAGUUAAAUUCCUGGG